ACGCUGGCGGCAGGCUUAACACAUGCAAGUCGAACGGUAACAGGAGAAAGCUUGCUUUCUUGCUGACGAGUGGCGGACGGGUGAGUAAUGCUUGGGAAUCUGGCUUAUGGAGGGGGAUAACUACUGGAAACGGUAGCUAAUACCGCGUAAUAUCGGAAGAUUAAAGGGUGGGACUUUCGGGCCACCUGCCAUAAGAUGAGCCCAAGUGGGAUUAGGUAGUUGGUGGGGUAAAGGCCUACCAAGCCUGCGAUCUCUAGCUGGUCUGAGAGGAUGGCCAGCCACACUGGAACUGAGACACGGUCCAGACUCCUACGGGAGGCAGCAGUGGGGAAUAUUGCACAAUGGGGGGAACCCUGAUGCAGCCAUGCCGCGUGAAUGAAGAAGGCCUUCGGGUUGUAAAGUUCUUUCGGUGAUGAGGAAGGUGUUUUGUUUAAUAGGCAAAGCAAUUGACGUUAGUCACAGAAGAAGCACCGGCUAACUCCGUGCCAGCAGCCGCGGUAAUACGGAGGGUGCGAGCGUUAAUCGGAAUAACUGGGCGUAAAGGGCACGCAGGCGGAUUGUUAAGUGAGAUGUGAAAGCCCCGAGCUUAACUUGGGAAUUGCAUUUCAGACUGGCAAUCUAGAGUAUUUUAGGGAGGGGUAGAAUUCCACGUGUAGCGGUGAAAUGCGUAGAGAUGUGGAGGAAUACCGAAGGCGAAGGCAGCCCCUUGGGAAUAUACUGACGCUCAUGUGCGAAAGCGUGGGGAGCAAACAGGAUUAGAUACCCUGGUAGUCCACGCUGUAAACGAUGUUGAUUUGGGGAUUGGGCUUUAAGCUUGGUGCCCGUAGCUAACGUGAUAAAUACNACCGACCUGGGGAGU
This 859-nucleotide ribosomal RNA is filed under the name Pasteurellaceae bacterium I12. RNAcentral describes it as "bacterial SSU rRNA". It matches the Rfam family "Bacterial small subunit ribosomal RNA", at positions 33 to 881 of the family's 1533-position model. Lineage: Bacteria; Pseudomonadati; Pseudomonadota; Gammaproteobacteria; Pasteurellales; Pasteurellaceae. The record is from RNAcentral.